GACGAACGCUGGCGGCGUGCCUAAUACAUGCAAGUUGAGCGCUGAAGGUUGGUACUUGUACCAACUGGAUGAGCAGCGAACGGGUGAGUAACGCGUGGGGAAUCUGCCUUUGAGCGGGGGACAACAUUUGGAAACGAAUGCUAAUACCGCAUAAAAACUUUAAACACAAGUUUUAAGUUUGAAAGAUGCAAUUGCAUCACUCAAAGAUGAUCCCGCGUUGUAUUAGCUAGUUGGUGAGGUAAAGGCUCACCAAGGCGGUGAUACAUAGCCGACCUGAGAGGGUGAUCGGCCACAUUGGGACUGAGACACGGCCCAAACUCCUACGGGAGGCAGCAGUAGGGAAUCUUCGGCAAUGGACGAAAGUCUGACCGAGCAACGCCGCGUGAGGGAAGAAGGUUGUCGGGUCGUAAAACUCUGUUGGUAGAGAAGAACGUUGGUGAGAGUGGAAAGCUCAUCAAGUGACGGUAACUACCCAGAAAGGGACGGCUAACUACGUG
This 497-nucleotide ribosomal RNA is filed under the name uncultured bacterium. RNAcentral's name for it is "partial 16S ribosomal RNA". It matches the Rfam family "Bacterial small subunit ribosomal RNA", at positions 28 to 507 of the family's 1533-position model. The record is from RNAcentral.